RNAcentral lists this ribosomal RNA (250 nucleotides) under uncultured bacterium. RNAcentral's name for it is "partial 16S ribosomal RNA". It matches the Rfam family "Bacterial small subunit ribosomal RNA", at positions 524 to 773 of the family's 1533-position model. The record is from RNAcentral.
GACGAACCACCCAAACGUUAUUCGGAAUUACUGGGCUUAAAGAGUGCGUAGGCGGUCUCGUAAGUAGGGUGUGAAAUCCCACAGCUCAACUGUGGAACUGCGCUCUAAACUACGAGACUAGAGGGAUAUAGAGGUGAGCAGAACAGAUGGUGGAGCGGUGAAAUGCGUUGAUAUCAUCUGGAAUACCGGAGGCGAAGGCGGCUCACUGGGUAUCUUCUGACGCUGAGGUACGAAAGCUAGGGGAGCGAAC